RNAcentral lists this transfer RNA (84 nucleotides) under Candidatus Cloacimonadota bacterium. RNAcentral's name for it is "Candidatus Cloacimonetes bacterium tRNA-Ser". It matches the Rfam family "tRNA". Rfam says of the family: Transfer RNA (tRNA) molecules are approximately 80 nucleotides in length. RNAcentral also lists the same sequence under 1 other name. The record is from RNAcentral. Lineage: Bacteria; Pseudomonadati; Candidatus Cloacimonadota.
GGGGGAGUGGCCGAGCGGUUUAUGGCGCACGCCUGGAAAGCGUGUUUCUUAACGGAAACGUGGGUUCGAAUCCCACCUCCUCCG